Molecule: long non-coding RNA, 401 nt
Organism: Trifolium pratense (red clover)
Lineage: Eukaryota; Viridiplantae; Streptophyta; Magnoliopsida; Fabales; Fabaceae
Exons: 2
Source: RefSeq, a predicted model, not a curated record
AGGCCAGCCAAUAAGUAAUGUAUGGAAACUAUUGGAUUUUGUAGGACCUUGCAGCUGAAUUCCCUAAGCUUGAACCAGAUGGUCUUGAUCUUCUUUCGAGAAUGCUUUGCCUAUGCCCAAAUAGCAGGAUUUCAGCUGUGGAAGCACUUGAACACCCAUAUCUUCGACCUUGACCACCCAUGAUGAUUGAUGAAGCUGAUCUUGUUUCAAGCACCCCAAGAUUUUUUUUUCUUCUGUUUUCCGUAGUACAUUUUACAGAACAAUCUUAUAGAAUAUUAGGUAUCCUAUUGGAUAUAUCAUGUGUUAAGGCAAUGACAAGAACUGGAGGCAAACAAAAUUUAGCAAUCUUAUAAAACCGUAGUAAUAAACUUUUGUCCUAUUAAUUGCCUAAUUGCAUGUGA